This 406-nucleotide RNase P RNA is filed under the name Porphyrobacter sp. Its description in RNAcentral is "RNase P RNA component class A". It matches the Rfam family "Bacterial RNase P class A". Rfam says of the family: Ribonuclease P (RNase P) is a ubiquitous endoribonuclease, found in archaea, bacteria and eukarya as well as chloroplasts and mitochondria. Its best characterised activity is the generation of mature 5'-ends of tRNAs by cleaving the 5'-leader elements of precursor-tRNAs. Lineage: Bacteria; Pseudomonadati; Pseudomonadota; Alphaproteobacteria; Sphingomonadales; Erythrobacteraceae. The record is from RNAcentral.
CCAGGGGGCCGGGCAGCCGCGGCGGGUUGCGAUCCGUCGAGGAAAGUCCGGGCUCCACGAAACAAGGGUGGCGGGUAACGCCCGCCCGCCCCGGAGUGGUCCGGGGUGAGGGACAGUGCCACAGAGAGCAGACCGCCGAUGGAGCCGACGGCUCACAGGCAAGGGUGAAAGGGUGCGGUAAGAGCGCACCGGGGCGCCGGCAACGGGGCCCGCACGGCAAACCCCACCCGGAGCAAGACCGAAUAGGGGCGGUGCGCCGGUCCGUCGCAAGGCGGGUCGGCAGGUCGGUUUCGGACCGAGCCGCCCGGGUUGGUCGCUAGAGCGCGCCGGGCAACCGGCCGCCGAGAUGAAUGGCUGCCCCCCGCCCCGGCGGGGACAGAACCCGGCUUACAGGCCCCCUGGCAAC